GCUGGGUGUGGUGGCACACACCUGUAAUCCCAGUUACUUGGGAGGCUGAGGCAGGAGAAUUGCUUGAACCUGGGAAUCGGGGGUUGCAGUGAGCCAAGAUCGUGCCACUGCACUCCAGCCUGGGUGACAGAGUGAGACUCUGCCUCAA
RNAcentral lists this small RNA (148 nucleotides) under Pongo abelii (Sumatran orangutan). RNAcentral describes it as "Metazoan signal recognition particle RNA (ENSPPYG00000034850.1)". It matches the Rfam family "Metazoan signal recognition particle RNA". From Rfam's summary of the family: The signal recognition particle (SRP) is a universally conserved ribonucleoprotein. It is involved in the co-translational targeting of proteins to membranes. The eukaryotic SRP consists of a 300-nucleotide 7S RNA and six proteins: SRPs 72, 68, 54, 19, 14, and 9. The record is from Rfam by way of RNAcentral. Lineage: Eukaryota; Metazoa; Chordata; Mammalia; Primates; Hominidae.